UACGUAGGGGGCAAGCGUUGUCCGGAAUCAUUGGGCGUAAAGAGCUUGUAGGCGGCUCGAUAAGUCUGCUGUGAAAGUCCAGGGCUCAACCCUGGAAGGCCGGUGGAAACUGUCGGGCUAGAGUCCGGAAGAGGCGAGUGGAAUUCCCGGUGUAGCGGUGAAAUGCGCAGAUAUCGGGAGGAACACCAAUGGCGAAGGCAGCUCGCUGGGACGGUACUGACGCUGAGACGCGAAAGCGUGGGGAGCAAACAGG
Molecule: ribosomal RNA, 253 nt
Filed under: uncultured bacterium
Lineage: Bacteria
Description: partial 16S ribosomal RNA
Rfam family: Bacterial small subunit ribosomal RNA
Source: RNAcentral